GAUGAACGCCGGCGGCGUGCCUAAUACAUGCAAGUCGAGCGAACGGACGAGAGGCUUGCUUCUCUGAUGUUAGCGGCGGACGGGUGAGUAACACGUGGAUAACCUACCUAUAAGACUGGGAUAACUUCGGGAAACCGGAGCUAAUACCGGAUAAUAUUUUGAACCGCAUGGUUCAAAAGUGAAAGACGGUCUUGCUGUCACUUAUAGAUGGAUCCGCGCUGCAUUAGCUAGUUGGUAAGGUAACGGCUUACCAAGGCAACGAUGCAUAGCCGACCUGAGAGGGUGAUCGGCCACACUGGAACUGAGACACGGUCCAGACUCCUACGGGAGGCAGCAGUAGGGAAUCUUCCGCAAUGGGCGAAAGCCUGACGGAGCAACGCCGCGUGAGUGAUGAAGGUCUUCGGAUCGUAAAACUCUGUUAUUAGGGAAGAACAUAUGUGUAAGUAACUGUGCACAUCUUGACGGUACCUAAUCAGAAAGCCACGGCUAACUACGUG
Molecule: ribosomal RNA, 497 nt
Filed under: uncultured bacterium
Lineage: Bacteria
Description: partial 16S ribosomal RNA
Rfam family: Bacterial small subunit ribosomal RNA
Source: RNAcentral